Molecule: ribosomal RNA, 834 nt
Filed under: uncultured archaeon
Lineage: Archaea
Description: bacterial SSU rRNA
Rfam family: Archaeal small subunit ribosomal RNA
Source: RNAcentral
AUGGUCAAUCUACCCUCGAGAAAGCGAUAACCCCGGGAAACUGGGGAUAAUAGCUUAUAGACGACCAACUCUGGAACGGGUGGUCAUCGAAAUGGUACGCAGGCAUGCCUGUGUACUGCUUGAGGAUGAGACUGUGUUCCAUCAGGUAGUUGGCGAGGUAACGGCUCGCCAAGCCGAUAACGGAUACGGGCAGUGAGAGCUGAAGCCCGGAGAUGGGCACUGAGACAAGGGCCCAGGCCCUACGGGGCGCACCAGGCGAGAAACCUCAUCAAUGCGGGCAACCGUGAAUGGGCCAUCCCGAGUGCCAGCCGCUGAGGUUGGCUUUUCCUCAGAGUAGUAAUCUGAGGGAAUAAGCGGGGGGCAAGACUGGUGUCAGCCGCCGCGGUAAUACCAGCUCCGCGAGUUGUCGGGACGAUUAUUGAGCCUAAAGCGCUCGUAGCCGGCUCGGCUAGUCCUGUGCUAAAUUCAACGGCUUAACCGUUGAGCCGCAUGGGAUACUGCUGGGCUAGGGAGCGGAAGAGGCCAGGGGUACUCCCGGGGUAGGGGCGAAAUCCUAUAAUCCCGGGAGGACGACCAGUGGCGAAGGCGCCUGGCUAGGACGCGUCCGACGGUGAGGGGCGAAAGCUGGGGGAGCGAACCGGAUUAGAUACCCGGGUAGUCCCAGCUGUAAACUAUGCGGACUGGGUGUCGGUACGGCUUCGAGCCGUGCCGGUGCCUCAGGGAAGCCGUUAAGUCCGCCGCUUGGGGAGUACGGUCGCAAGACUGAAACUUAAAGGAAUUGGCGGGGGAGCACCACAAGGGGUGAAGCCUGCGGCUCAAUUGGAGUCAACGCCG